Molecule: transfer RNA, 69 nt
Filed under: Euryhaliotrema johni
Lineage: Eukaryota; Metazoa; Platyhelminthes; Monogenea; Dactylogyridea; Ancyrocephalidae
Description: tRNA-Leu
Source: RNAcentral
UUAGGGGUGUCAGAGAGUUAUAUGAGCUUGUUUUAGGUACAAGAUACAGGCUGUUAAGCCUCCCCUGAU